GUGGUGGGAAGGCAAGUCGGAGGACGUCGUUUCCGGUUGCUGGCAGCGGUGAAUUCAAAUCUCUGUCAUACGCGGUCACACUGGAGAGAGCAGGAAGGAGAGGAUGAUAUCCAAACCAUCUUGAAGGAAGAGGGAAUGCAAGGCAAUAGACUCAAAGGCCUUAUGAGGUGGGAACCAAUUUCUUAGUGUUCCACCAACAGUGGUCUGAUUGAGGCGGAGUACCAGAAGAAUCCAACAGGAGGCAUGACCUUCACUGUCAGUGGACAGUCCUACGUGCUGGACUUUGCCACUAUGACACAAACCAAUGACUUCACCAUGACGACUCGCAAAGUCAGACGUGUGUAGGCAUCUCCACGUGGCAUCUGUCAUUCAGCGCAGGAGACAAUCUCAUGUGGUCUCCCAUUUUCAAUUCUUUUUAUUUUUGGAGGCGGGGUCAACUUAAAAGGAGGAACGGGAAAAAGUCAAAAAGAGGAACGGGACAGGAAGCGAGUGGGGAGAGAGAGACGGUGAAG
Engraulis encrasicolus (European anchovy) is the source of this 512-nucleotide long non-coding RNA. RefSeq lists it as uncharacterized. Lineage: Eukaryota; Metazoa; Chordata; Actinopteri; Clupeiformes; Engraulidae. The transcript is spliced from 4 exons. The record is from RefSeq and is a predicted model, not a curated record.